AAAUGAAAAGGAACUGUGUGCAUUAAAAAAGAACACAUAGUAUUUUAAAAGGAAAAUUUCAAAAUGAAACAUUGGAAGUUAAAUGUGAGAGUCAAAAUUCAAAACAAAUUAGCGAGUUGGCUGAGAGGUGAAGUGGGGAAAUCUUUUCUUAAAAAGAAAAAGGCAAAGAAGCAGGUGAGGAGGUAGACAGAUGAGGCCUGAUGAGUUCCAGGAAAAACCAGAACAUGGUGGGAAUGGGAUGGCCAGAGACGGCAUCAUAUUCUCCCCAGGCCUGACAGUCCCACAUCGCAGCAGCAGAAGCACCUGCCAGCUCCCCCUGCCGCCCAGUGACAGUACUCAGGGCAUCCCUGGCCGUGUGUGCAGACCCCACGGGGUGACGAGGCCUGGGGAAAACCUCUUCGCACCGUGUCACAGACAGAAGACAGUGCAAUGAGGCUCUAACAAUUACACGAGAAAAUAAUUUGCAGCCUAGAAGUUGACCCGUGUUCAGAUCACCAGUCAAGUAUUUUCAGAGAUGCAGAUUCACCAAAAAUGCUUCAUGACGUCUUGUGGAAGCGUGCUCCGGGAGACACUAAGAGGAGAUCUCCGAAACAAGGGAGAGACUGAGAAAGAGGAAGGGGAAGGCUCCAGCAGACUCUCUCGGGGGAAGAGCAGAGGUCUGUGGCCAGCUUUGGUUUCCCCCAGCGCACCCUGCGGGCACAAUGAUUCACUGUCCUUGCCCAUGCAGAAUACACUGGCUCCCUUCACGGCCCCCACAGGUCUCCACCUUUCAUGGCACGCUCAGAGGCCGAUGGGCAUCUCGGGAUCUUCAUCAGGUCCGGAACGAGAGGAGAUGCGUCUUGAGCCAGAGACCUAUCAACAAAAAAGAAGUACCUGACCGCUGGCAAGAGAAUUUAAGCCCCCUCCCACCCCAUGAACGCCUCGAGCUACAGAACCUGGAGGGAAAGCCUGGCCAGGGGCACUCGGCAGCCUCACCCCGGGACACAGGCUCAGGGCCGUGCCGUCCUGUCUGUUCAGCAGAAGGAGCGUGAGCACAAGCAGCAGGGGAAGCAGCUCCCUGCCGAGCCAGCUGGGAGCCUGACGCAGGGCUCCAUCCCGGGACCUGGAGAUCACGACCUGCGCUGAAGGCAGACGCCCCGCCAUGUGAGCGGCCCAGACGCCCCAUCUGUUCCCCUUUUAAAGGAAAAUCAAAUGUGUUGGACAGGCCGAGGCUGUGGGGCAGACCCCCGCUGCGCACGUGGACUCCGGCCCCAGGCCUCCUCCGGGAACUCUGCUCCGGACACGCAUGUACGUGGACAUGAUGCCGCAGCUGCCAGAGCAGCCCCCAGAGGCUGGGGAAGUGGGCGUCCCUCCCGAGACGGCCAGGAGGCUCCCCGGCCAGGGCCACAGGAGGACGGGAGACGCUGGGCCGCUGCUUCUGUGGAGCAACGGGCGGGUGGGGCCACACACCAGAAGCUUCCCAGCAGCUGCCUCUGGGGAUGGGGAGGUCGGGGCGGGGUGCAGCCUGUCCCCAAUGGCACGGGGACAUUCUUUGAUCUGACCACUUACCAUUCCCCACGCGCACGCCCCACUACUAAAACCUCCCUCUCUCCCUCUGGCUCCCGCCCCCCGACCCCCACUUGCUCACGAGCACACUCUCUAAAGGAUUACUAAAUAAAUCUUU
Molecule: long non-coding RNA, 1663 nt
Organism: Mustela erminea (ermine)
Lineage: Eukaryota; Metazoa; Chordata; Mammalia; Carnivora; Mustelidae
Exons: 2
Source: RefSeq, a predicted model, not a curated record